UAUCUACUCCAUCCGUUCCGAAUUACUUGUCUUGAAUUUGUCUAGAUACGGAUGUAUCUAGCACUCCGUAUCUAGACAAAUCCAAGACAAGUAAUUUGGAACGGAGGGAGUAGUAU
Triticum aestivum (bread wheat) is the source of this 116-nucleotide non-coding RNA. NCBI's taxonomy places the organism in Eukaryota, Viridiplantae, Streptophyta, Magnoliopsida, Poales, Poaceae. The record is from Rfam.